Long non-coding RNA from Cynoglossus semilaevis (tongue sole), 516 nucleotides. RefSeq lists it as uncharacterized. The record is from RefSeq and is a predicted model, not a curated record. The transcript is spliced from 3 exons. NCBI's taxonomy places the organism in Eukaryota, Metazoa, Chordata, Actinopteri, Pleuronectiformes, Cynoglossidae.
ACACCAACUUCAUGGUGGACUCCAGCCUCUCCUGCAGGUUUCUGAUCUCAUUCUGUUCCCCGUCCGCAUCACUGCUGACCAAGGACAUGGCCCGCAUGCGUGGGAACCAGUCCAAAUUGUGGUCCUGUUGUUGACGUGUCCACUCAGCGGAACAUUGGCCCAAACCUCUUGACCUUGGUGGGUGUAGUGUGCUGCCUACCCUGAUCAUUUCAGCCACGUAGCUCUCUGGACCUGUGAACUCCGUGGAGUCCUUCACCUUAACCAAAACGAUGAAGAAGAGAUAGUGCCACAUGUUGUGCUCAAUUUUGAUGUGUUCUUCAAAGGUGACUGUCUUAUUGUCAAACUUGUCUCUCUCCAGACCUGUUCAAAUAUGGCACAAACCCACACAAAGGACAAACAGAAUGUCAGAGGUCAGCAAAUGUGUCAAUGAUGACACCAAAGAUGAGGUUCAAGACGAUGAUAAUGACCAUGAAGAAGAAGAGCAGAUCAUAGAGUACUCUGGCUGCAAACAGGGGC